CAAUGGCGGCGGCCCAGAAUACCCAGAAACCCAUUGAGCUCUCUCUGAGAUGAUCAAGAACAAUAUACCGUUUGCCUCCGUUUCCUCAGCUUUCUUUGUGUAUAUAAAUUUUCCGAGAAAAUUAGUGAGAUCAGAGAGGCCAAGUCCCUCCCCAAGUCCCACCUAUCACGCCAUUAGCAGACCUCUCAACCAUUGCAGACUCCGUGCUUAUCACCUAUGAAACAUGGGAGCUUUUGGGUGCCUUUUUUCACAUCCAAUUGGAUAUAAAGAACUAUUUGAAUGGAUACGUGCAGCAUAUACCAACAGGAUCUACAAAAAGAAACUUACGCUACCGCUUAACGGUUACUGACCUUGGCUUCUUUCCUCGCCCCCGC
RNAcentral lists this long non-coding RNA (374 nucleotides) under Vitis vinifera (wine grape). RNAcentral's name for it is "long non-coding RNA (VVIN_LNC008184)". Lineage: Eukaryota; Viridiplantae; Streptophyta; Magnoliopsida; Vitales; Vitaceae. The record is from RNAcentral.